RNAcentral lists this long non-coding RNA (843 nucleotides) under Capra hircus (goat). RNAcentral's name for it is "lncRNA (ENSCHIG00000001576.1)". The record is from RNAcentral. Lineage: Eukaryota; Metazoa; Chordata; Mammalia; Artiodactyla; Bovidae.
AUGAGUGUUCCAGAAGCUGGCGGGAUGCAGAGUUGUCUCCUGCACACACAGACUCCAUGGCAACCGCAACUCCGUGACAACAGCAGAGGAAUUUGCCAGCCCAGAGAGCGGACCAUCUGGGAGGCCAAACCCUCCACAUGCUGCCCCAUCUCGGUGCUCACGUCCAGGGAACUUCUGCACAAAGCAGAGGUGACCUUUCAGUGGCAUAAGAAUAAACAGUGGGUGCCUGUGAAAUCCCUUGAAAGUAUGCAUUUACUGUCCCAGAGCAACAGAAGAGGAAGCAACAGGGACGAGAUUUGCACUGACAGGCAAGGUGACCCCUGACCAGCUUAGCCCGGCCGCAGGGGACAGUCCCCCUCCCCUCCUGUGAGGAUCUAGGAGAGCUGCUCUGUCUAUGAAGCCCGCCAUAUCCCUUGGCUUCACUGUGGAAAACAGCAUGGGAAUUCUUCAAAAAAUUAAAUGUGGAUCUACAGACUCCCCUUCUGAGUAUACACCCAAAAUCAUUAAAAGCGGGGACUCAAUCAAAUGUCUGUGCACCUGUUCACAGCGUCGUUAGUCACAAUGGCCCAAAGGCGGAGACAACCUAUUUACCCACAGGCCAAUGAAUGAAUAAGCAAAGGGGGUCCACACACAGACCGAUGAGUGGAUGAGCAACAGGGAGCCACACACACUAGAAGGUAUUAUUAAUAUUCAAUCUUUAAAAAAGAAGUUCUGGCAGAUGCUACAGCCUGGAUGAGCCUUGGCGGCAGUAUGCUCAGUGAGAUAAGCCGGUCACCAAAGGCCAAAUGCUGUAGGAUCCCACUUACACAAGGGACCCAAUGUAGUCUUGUUCACAGAGACAGA